UUCCUACGGGGGGCAGCAGUGGGGAAUAUUGCACAAUGGGGGAAACCCUGAUGCAGCGACGCCGCGUGAGUGAAGAAGUAUUUCGGAUUGUAAACUUCUGUUCUUAGUGAAGAAUAAUGACGGUAGCUAAGGAGCAAGCCACGGCUAACUACGUGCCAGCAGCCGCGGUAAUACGUAGGUGGCAAGCGUUGUCCGGAAUUACUGGGUGUAAAGGGAGCGCAGGCGGGAAGCCAAGUCAGCUGUGGAAACUACGGGCUUAACUUGGAGACUGCAGUUGAAA
This 280-nucleotide ribosomal RNA is filed under the name uncultured bacterium. RNAcentral's name for it is "partial 16S ribosomal RNA". It matches the Rfam family "Bacterial small subunit ribosomal RNA", at positions 336 to 632 of the family's 1533-position model. The record is from RNAcentral.